Molecule: non-coding RNA, 11764 nt
Organism: Xyrichtys novacula (pearly razorfish)
Lineage: Eukaryota; Metazoa; Chordata; Actinopteri; Labriformes; Labridae
Source: the annotation of a GenBank genome assembly
CUUGCUGAUGUUUCUAUCCAGUUUUUGGUGAAGUAUAAGAAUAAAACCAAAGACUUUUAGCUUGAAAAGAAUCCAGCCAAAGAUACAUCUUAAUAUUUGCAAAUUCCCACUAUGGAGCCGUUUAUGCAAUGUGCUGAAUGAUUAAAAACUUAUGCAAGAGUCACAACUCCAGACUGAGUCAUGUGGACAUGUCCUGUAAGAGGAUAGCAAACAUCUAUGCUGGCUAGAAAAACAGACACCUUAUGCCGUAAUAAAUAAGAGAUUUAUCAUCAUUCAUUCACACUAAUGGAAGGCUAAGUACGUGCUUAUGUGCACAAGUUGGGAUGUGUUGUAACAUCAGGCUAAAACUAUGCAAAGUCUUUGGUCCUGUGUAUGAAUCUGUUGUGUCGCCUAACUGGAAUCUCUGUAUGCAGGGCGGUAUGAGUUGGAUGGACUUAAGAAGUUGUAGCUUGGUUGCAGGGACAGAUCCAGGGGGUUAGCCAAGGUGGUCUGGGCCCCUUUUAAAAUCUGACUGGCCACCCUAAGUACAACCCAAAAUCUUAAAUAAACCUUUCUGACAAAACAAGUAGGUUUUUUGCAUUAAAUGUAAUUUCGGAUGGUAAUGAAAGCCUCUACUUUGACUUAUUAUGAUUAAGUUUUUAAAUGUACAUUACGAAACGUUUUGCCCCCAAACCACAUACAUAGUACUCAUCCACACAAUCAAGCGACAAUAUUCCUCACCAUACAUUUUGAACAAUUGUGUCUGAUACUCCCUACUCUCAUCUCAUGUGUGUUUUUGCUCUGCUUGCCUUUUUUGCUGCUGUACCAUAAUCUUUUAUGUCUCUCUUUUUUUGUUGUUGUUUUUGUCUCUUGUUUUUGUCUUCUUUGGUGCUGUUUCUUAAAUUUCUUAUUAUUUUUGUUUCAAUUAUUAUUCAGAUUGCAUUUCGCUCCUUUGCAUGUCUUGUUAAAUGUUUGCAAUAAAAAAAAGACAUAAUUAUGAAAUCUACGUUGUGCAAACUACUGCGAUAGUGACAUCAAAUCAGUGCGCCAUAGCUCCCCCAGCGGUCAAAAACUAAACAGCGUAACGCAAAUGAGAAAGUCAUGUCAGUGAUCCAGUGUUUCCAAGCGUUUGUCUGAUCUUGUCGGAGUAUUCGAGCUGACCAGACAGACCAGGUCUCACAAGUGAGUGCCACUGAAUCACCUUGAAGGUGUGUGUGUGUUGUGUUUAACCCAAUAUAUUCUGACCUCAUCCUCCCUUUAGAUGGCUCUAAAAAUAGCGUUUCAGAGAGUCUGGACACCCACGCCCAGCUGGUGUCACACCUGUAUGUGACACGUAGGCGUGUAAAACUGCAUUGAAGGUGAGUUUGUUCAGAGAUUUCAUAACUCGGUAUAACAAAGCUUGUGGUUGUUUAUUUAGAAAGCUGUAUAAAUUAAAAGCCGGCGGUUUUUAUGGUCUAAGGUUCUGAGGAUGAAUAUUUCUCUGUCAUACUGCGCAUAGACAAGACAAAAUAAAUUAAAUACCACCGUCCAACUUCCUUGACAUUAUCGGCUCAUCAGGGCGAGUGAUGUGAGCAAGACAGAGAGAAUGUGGGAAUUUCACCGUCAGACAGGUAGAGACAGGACAGGGCUGCCAGCACACAGGAACUUUAAUUCAUUCAUAAAAACCGCAGAAAACAAAACAUGCUUUAUCAUCCUGACAUGCUGCGUCUCUCAACCUGUCCGGCUGGCUCUUUCUCAGCACUUCUUUACCCCCCUUUUGUGAUUCAGCUUCUGAAGAUUAAAGAAUUUAAGAGGAAAGGGAUGAAAAGGUUAUGUUGUUUUGUAUAAACAUGUUAAGUAUUAAAAAUGUAGCUAGAGUCAUGAAACAAUAAAAAAAUGCCACUGGAGACAUUUGGUUUGUGGUCAAGAGACAGGAUGUCCCAGAUCUGUCUGUUUGGAGAAAAUAUUACUAUAAUUGUAUGAUAUUUUAACGUCAAUUUGUGCAACAAUUAUAAUAUAGAAAGACUGAAUCUUGAAUAUAGGGUUUAUUUUAAAUGUCGGCUGAAUUAAGUGAGUGACACUGCGUCAGUGUAGAUGCAGCUAACAACAGAGAAGUGAUAAUGGUUGGUCGGUAACACUCGUCUGUGCUUCCAGCUGCACCAUUCUGAGGAAGUUCAGGGCCCAGCUCUGGCUCUGAUUGCUCGUUUGAGUUCACAGGCUUAAAUAAAGACACUUAAUCACAAACGCUCGGUGGAGUUUUUUCUUCUCCUGGAUUGUGCUGGACUUUGCCAAGACCUCAGGCAGUCACAUCUCUGGAUUGGAGGUAAAAUAUUCCCUUUAGAUUACUCAAUGACUCACAAAAAUAACUGUCUUGAGAGAAAUAUGAUACACGUAUCAUUUAGAUUUAAACACAACACGGCAAUUAUGCCAGAUUUUAGCCAACAUGUGCUUUACCGCACAUGUUUGAGGCACAGUCAUGAAUUUUACAACCGUAUUAAAUGCAGGUCUGUUUAUACAUGUUACAGAACAAUUUAACCUACAGAUUCAUUAAACUGAAAUAUGCGAGGGUUAUUAUACACAUUACUGAUGUACCUGAGCUAAUGAGGAAUUUCUCUGUAACUACUCAGUGUGAUGUUUCCCUGAGGGGGCACAGUAAGAGUAAUUCCUGAUUAAGUCAUUUGUAAUGAAAAAGCUAAUCACUAGACAGCAUUUGUUAUUCUGAUUUGCAAAAAUCCAUGUGGUAAAAAAGCUUUAGUGUCUCAUCAUUAUCUUCUGUUUGGCCAUCUAUAUGGGAAUACCUCUUCACUGUAAAAACUCAAAUCUAAGUAAAUGUUUCUGUCUUAACUUUAGGUUUAAAUUCAGCCAAAUUCCCCUGACAUGUCCAGAAAAAUGUCUCACUUCAAGAUAUUACCUGCCAAAACUAUGACCUGAAUUGCUUAUAACGAGUAAAAAUUAAUCUGCCAAUAGAAUAGGGAAAAGAAUCAAACAAGAUAUUUUCACAUUUCAAGGAACUUGAUAUUUAUUUGGAUUAAUUUGAGAUUUUAUCAAAGUCUAUUGGCCGAUUUUCUUACUCAAAAUGAACAUUAAAAAAAAAAAAUGUUGGUGUGUAAUAUUUUAAAAUGAAAUAUUUUGGACCCGUCGAGUGAAUUCAGCCUGAACUGAGACUGAUAGACAUUGAUAAGUACAAAAAAGUCUUUGCAGUCUGAUAACUGUUUAUUUCUCAGGAUGCUCUUGGUUUUCCUGCCACUUGUUCAUUCUUUCCGGAAACUUUUGAUUUUGGCACCACGUGUGGACAAAACCUGAAGUUUUUGUUGAUUCAAUCUUGUGCAUGUAAAGAGAGUGGUAUAAAGCAGAAAACAUACUUUUUAUUGCUAAUUGCAUCACUUGCUGUAAGUUUUUAUGGUGGAAAAUGUAGUCCUAUUAAAUUAAUCAAUUCAACACGAAAAAUUAGACAAAAAUCGAUCAUAUGUUUACUUUGGAAUGUCAUAUAGAAAUAUUUCUAAUAUACAAUUCAUAAUGUUUAAAAGCAAAGCAAAAUCCCCUUAUAGGACCAUGUUUUUAAUUUUAUUACAGAUGAAUCCUAGAUUGUAUUUUUUUUUUAUAUUUGGCUGUAAACCACAUUUAUGCUUAAAUACCUCACAUUACAUUUCAUUAGCUCGGGGUUACAUUCAAAUUUCAUAUAGUUUCAGUUGCUUUCCAUUAGAAGACAAUAGAUUCAUGCAGAUUUGGGUCACAACAGAUAAACAGCAUCGAAAGGGCUGAAUUAAAAUCUCAACGUUGACAUGUGAACAUAACGAAGUAUGACCUCACUGCCAAGCCAGCUGGUGCUUCUCUUUAAUAUCCCAAAUCAUAACAAAAUUGCAUUACAGAUCAAAAUAACUGCAAAUUUUACAUUAAGUUACUAAGCCCUAAUUUUGACAUACUGUUAAAAACCGAAUGAGACUCUUAUUACAGGUUGUCAGUUGCGGUUUUGGGCCACUCGAACAGGUGCUGAUCAAAUCAAAUUGAUCCUACUCUUCAAGUCAAACAUAUAAAAACAGGAAAAACAAGGUGACAGCACUCCGACUUGGCCUCUUCCCUUUCUCAACAACACCAAUUUCCCGAACAGCCAACAAAACCUGCUGAUCAGCUCCCACUGAGCUGUUUUUCUUAUGAAUAGAAGUCAAUUAAAUCUCUGACAAUUUCUGGUGGUCCUUUUUUAUUGUUCUGACACUUUCUACAUAACUGUUUACAGGGUGGGCAAGGCUGUCUGCCCACAGCAUAUAAAAACGGCCCAACACACCUGGAAAAUAAAAUGCUGCUGGAAAACGCUUGUCUUCCAGGGCAACAUAAAAUUCUGCCACCUCUACUCAUGACUAAUUGGCUGUUAACACUGUUUUAACAAACCUGAGCUGCAGUGUUACACUGAUGUGCAAAUGAACAGGCGUGAUUGGAAGAGACGUCAACCAGCGCUGGCAAAAUGGAAACCAGUAGUCGGUUAAAAAUGGGUGUGAGGCGCUGCUGUAUUUCUCUUAUGCAGAUGACGUCACGGUGUUUACCCUCCAAACAUCUCUAGUAGGUGAUUUAUCUGAACAACAUGUUCAGCUGACUGGAUCUGUACGGCAUGUCCAGGGAGCGGAUACUAUUUCAGGUUUUUGGCAGCCUGUUGACGACUGUUUCUUCAUAGAUAUCAGAUAAUAGCUUACCUGGACUGAAAGGUCAAUAAAAGAUGUUUUUUAAUGUUGUCUUGAUUGGAAAUAAAAUAUCAGGUUUUGAUUCUUUUGCUGUCUAGUGGUUGCAUGAUGCGGAUGGCAUAGCGUUGCAACAUAUCAACGUGCAGCCAACUGUAUUUGUACAGCAUGUUCAGGUAUGUGUAUCAUAUUUCAGGUGUUUUUCAGGUGUUGCGAGUCAUCGACUCUUUCAUAAUGCAAAUGGUGCAACAGUUAAAAGGGUUGUAAGCCCUUAGCGGUCAAAACUGCAAAAUUUCAUCACUUUAGCAAAUUAGCUCUAGAAUUACUGGUCUGUUCAACAAGUUUAUUUUAUUUUUUAGCUGUAGGCCUAAGAUUUCCACCACAGUCAGCUGUGGUUUAAGGUAAAUAUCCUGCUGUAAUAAUGCUCCACUACCCAGAUGUAAUCAAGCACAGGUGACAGAUAGAAACUCUGUCAAGAAAUAGGGAUGUACGUGGGCUACAUCUAGUUAAUUGCUUUUAGCGAUUACACAACCAGCAUGGCACGGACAGUCCAGACCUAUUGCUGGUGGUGCUAGCUCUGCCAGUGUUAGCUACACCCUGUAUCCAAUCAGCCAAAGAGGCUCUGAUGCAGAGUUUAGUCAUGGUCAGUCAAAUUAACUGUAAUCUGAGUCUUUAGCUCAGUCAGCUCGCCAGAAUUCAAUUUUUUAUCUGAAUGACUUCUGAGGUGUUUUAAGCUAAAUGUGAGUUUUAAUGCUAGUGGGUUUACUGUGUUUAUUCUAUGCAGAUGACACCAUCUUGUACAAAUGCCUCUUCGUGAACAACACAGUUAAUACCGAUUUGAUAUCCUCACUUUUUCCUCAAUUUCCUGUUCUUCCUGUUCACACUGUACACGUCAGACUUCAAAUACAGUACUGAGUCCUGCCACGUCCAGAAAUACUCAGAUGACACCGCUAUUGUGGCAUGUAUCAGAAAUGGACAAGAAGCUGAAUACAGAGAUCUAAUAAGAGCCUUCAGUGACUGGAGUCACAAAAACUGCCUCCUCCUCAACACCUCAAAGACAAAGGAGAUGGUCGUAGAUCCAACAAAAAAACAUAAUAUGUGAGACAACAGACGAUUGUAUUUCCCUUCGGGGCUCAAUAAAGUUCUUCUUCUUCUUCUCCAAUUCAGUGUCCAGAUCAUCAAAUUCAACGCAACAUGAAAAUCCCUUACUGCGCCUUUAAGUCUACACCGAAUACAUCUCUUGCAACUCCAUCUGCAUAACAUGGACAGCUAUCUGUUUACAGCACAUGCAGGAAGUUCCCUCUAUAUCAUGUAUCAAAAACAUCAAGUAACAACAACAAGGGGGAUGUACAGUAUAGAGACGUUGGUUUUGUCACUGGUUAUUUAAAAAAAACAACACAUAAGCAGCUAUUUCUGUGUCUUCUUAUACAUAAAUCUCACACUUUGAAGAUGUGGGUUACUGGAUGUGCAUGAGAAGCAUGUCCUCUGUACUGGUACUAAUGCUAAGUCAUGGGGAAAGCAGGUCUUCCUGGUGCUGCUGACAAAUCCACUCUUCUCUGAAUAACACACCGCCAUCCGAUCUACUUACGGUCCACAAAACAGUCAAUACUGAAAGUUUAAAAAAAGAACAAAACAGGGAAAGUUUGUUUCCAGGGUUUAUUUUUAGAAGGUUGUGACGCACGUCAGACUGUGAAGCUUUUAUCUGCCAAGAUGUCCUCCUACUUUUUUUACACGUGACAGAACAAGCUCCAGGAUGAAAUAAUAAGUCACAUUUACCCUGUACAGGAAGCUGGCUGACGGACAGCUUCUUAGUUUUCAACAGAGGCGUCAAUGACAAAGUGGUCCAACCUGUGGCUGUCUACAGUCCACAGAUUGUUUCACUCUUUCUAUUACCUUACUCUAAGGUAACCACAAAGCAAGACACGUUAGAUACUACACAAUUAUUUGGUGUUUAAUUCGUGAAAAUAAGAAUGGAGUUCCUGUCAUCUUAGUUUUUCGAACAGAUUGAAACAUCAGGACUGGGUCUGGUCAACUUUGAACAACAAGGAGGUCAAUAAUUCAAACAUAUUAGUAAAAUAAUGGACACUGCUCUCAAUAAUACUAAAGUUAAUACACCAUACAGAAAAUAAAGGCUUAUCCCACCGUUUCUGUUCACCCCAGACAAAAAUGAACUCAUUCCUUGCCAGACUCCAUUUAUUUUAAACAACUGGACCCGUAAUGUGCUAAAUUUAUGAAAAAGUGAAGGAGAUAUUGUUACACCGAGCAGACAGCUCUCUCUUUUUCCUCCUUAUGGAUGAGUGAGAGUGUAAAUGUCACUCCGAAUUGAUGUACUGCUUUCUGAGCAGACUUGUCAAAUAAAGAUUCUGAGUAAAAGCAAAAAGACUAAAUGAUCCAUGUGAUUUGAUCUGAAGCGUUACCAGUCUUUCACUUUGUGUCAUAAAAAGUCGUUCAGUUUAAGCGCGCAGAUGAUAGCGCAGAAACUUGUAUUAAAUAGAAAGAGUCAAAAGUUUGGGGGUAAAACUUAUUAAAGCGAAGGUCCUGUUAAGAUACACAAAGUACAGGUGACCAACUUGUAUCCAAGUCAUGCGUGUGGCUGUCAGGCUACAACCUGAGGCCCGGCUGAUUGUUCACACCCCACGGCGAGACCUGUUGCCCCGGGCUAUUAGUCAUCCUGACAAGCAUGGCGUAUGUGCCACUCUCUCUGGUCAUGACACACUUGUUUCCACCAUCUCCCCACCUUCACACGCCGCUCCGACUCUGAUAUAUUCCUAACACAUAGUGGCAAGAGUGACACAAGACCACUGAACCAAAACAAGCACCUAUCAAUUACUGAUGAAAAAGGCCUUUUUUUUCCUACCGGAGGAGAAAGAGCCUCGACAGCAGUGAAAACCUGAUGCUCUGCUCUGUGGAAAUUCGGCUGUGUAAAACUGAAUAAUCAUCAUAAUUUGAUGCUCCUUGACUAAGAAGAAAAAUGUUUUCAGGCAAUGAAAGAGUUUUAGGAGAAAUUAGACAGUCUGACAAGAGAAAGAGGAAAAAAGCAGGUUUUGACUGCGAACGAUUUGAUAUGCUGUCACUGGGGAUAGGAAUAAAGGAUAAUGGCGAUAUCGGCUUUUAGAGGGGUGGGACAAUGGCAAUUUUGUUAAGACACCAUUAGAUUAGAUUAGAUUAUUCUCGACUCAACUCAAUUAGAUCAGAUUCAACUAGACUAGAUUAGACUAGAUAAAAUUAGAUUAGACUAGAUUAGAUUAGACUCGACUGGACUCAGUUUGACACAAUUUGAAUAGAUUUUAUUAGAUUAGAUUAGAUAUAAUUAGAUCAGAUCAGUCUCAACUGGAUUCGACUUGACUCCACUCGAUGAGAUCAAAAAAGGAUUAGAUAGAAUUAAGUUAGAUUCAACUGGACUAGAUAAAAUUAGAUUAGAAUAGAAUAGAUUAGAUCAGAUUGGACUUGAUAAAACCAGAUUAGGCUAGAUUAAAAUAGUUUAGAUUCAACCAAAACUAGAUUAGAUUAGAUUAGUUUAGAUCAGUCUCGAUUUGACUCAACUCAAUAAAAUUAGAUUAGACUGGACUAGAUUAGACUAGAUCAGAAUAGAUUAGAUCGGAUUCAACUAGACUAGAUUAGGCUAGAUUUGAUUAGUUUAGAUUCGACUAGAUUAUAUUAUAUUAGACUAGAUUAGACUUGACUCGACUGGACUCAAAUAGACUAGACUAGAUUAGAUUGGACUUGAUUAGAUUAGAUUAGAUUAGAUUUGACUGGACUAGAUCAGACUACAUUAGAUUAUUUUAGAUAGGAUUUGACUAGACCAGAUUAGACUGGAUUUGAUUAGAUCAGAUUCGAUUUAACUAGAACACAUUAGAGUAGAUUCAACUAGAUUAGAUUAGAUUAGAUCAGAUUUGACUUGACUAGACUAGACUAGAUUUGACCAGAUUAGAUUGCUUCACAUCACAUUAGAUUGGAUUAGAUACAACUUUAUCUAGCGUUUUGGGAAGGUUCCAACAAGGAAAUUAAAAUAAUAUGCAAAGUAAUCAGUAUAAAAAAAAAGUUUCAUUUAGCCUCAACUGAAUUGUCUAAGAAAUUACUCAAAUCAGGUGAAAUGACUCAUUGAAUUCAUAUCAUUUUCCGUCCUAAUCCAUAUGGGGUCUAACGGGGAAAAAUGUGGUUGAAAAAAGUAACAAUAUGUCCUCUGUUGCAUCAAUGUAAAAAUGUCUACGUCCAUUUUUGACCUUGAUAGAGACAGAAAGUGUGGGGGGGGAAAGGGUGCAAGAUGACGUACAUUGUUCAUCUACCACGAUAAUGACCACAUAAAGAUAGAGAAAUUUCUUCGUGUUAUCGCUGUAUUUCGCAGAUUUUUAAAAAUAUGCACUUUUCCAUCCCUUCUGUAUUUGGGGUUCGUUCACUGACCUGACCACACAUAAGACACUGAGCAUGUGGAUUCUUCUUUAACCGUGUGAGAGGAGAAGAUACCGCUAUUAAAAUUCAAUCUAUCUGAUUUAUGUCGCCAUUGAUACACUUCAUUUGCAAAUCCUAAGUCUUAAAACAGCCACAGGACUAUUGUUUUUUGUUCUUUGCAUGUCACGCUUGAAAGUUGACCUCCACGGGGUCACUGCUUAAAAGUAAAAAGCUCCUGACCUUGGCAUGAGAUACGCCAUCUUGUCCUUGGCGUUAUUCAAAACCGAGGACACGUAACAAUAUUAAUGCGUCCACUCAGGACAAACCGCCAAACACUAAGUCCUAAUGUUGACUUAUUUUUGAGGUAUGAUCCAUAUUUUUUGUCAGGCACUGCUUUGGGUCUCCUGCCUGAGUUGCCAUAAGCUGUGAUUUAAUAUUAGACGAGGCAGGGAUUCAGCACGCUGGUAAAACCAUUAGGAGCUUUCUUCUCUUUUAUCAUUUCCUGGAGGAGGCCUCACAUCGCCUGCUGCAACGAGGUGACGGCUAUCAGCAGACCAAAAUUGGGGGGGAGGGCAUAGAUAAUGUAUGUGGUUAAUUUACAGCUUAGAGGAUCUUGUCCUGCGCUGGUCCUGGGGUGACUCGCAGACUGCAUUUCAAAAACUCCGAGGUGUAAUCAGCAAUCAGAAAGAGGAAGCGGGAUGUCAGGCUUUUAUUAAUGGUUUCCUCUGAGGAGUUUAAUUUACUGUCCGAGCACAGUUGAACUUCCAGAGUGAGUCGAAAGGGGGGCAGAGAGGAGCUAGGUGAAACUACAAAAUACCUUUCAAAGAAUAAUAACCAGAGCGCGAAACAGACUGACAACGCAGUGUUUAACUCAUGUCUAGAAAUGCACCUAAAUGUGAUUUUCUUGUUUUGAUUCUUGAAUAUUUCCCCUCGUUUUUGCUUUUAAUCUUUACUGCACCUGGUUCAUCUCUCUGCCAGUCCUCUCUACAUGCCCGGUGAUCAUUUAGCUACGCUCUGCUGUAGGUCUGCAUGACUUCCAAAUCAAGUGAAUUUAACUUGUCGAUAUGUCAUUAGAAAUGAGAAUCUGGCGGGUUUCCCUCUUGCAUAAAACACUAAAAGUAGACAUAACUAAAAGGAAGUGCAUUGGCUUCAUAUGGUGAUUUGGCGUGUAUAGCAUGUUGCAAUGGCAAUGCCUUCACAAUAUAUUGUGCAGGGCUUUGAUAAAUCAUCAUAAGCACUUAAUUACUUCUUCUCUUUCCUACAAGAAAAACAUGGUGAUGACUGCAGGAGGUGCAGGGUAGAGGACUUUAACGCGCUGAUGUGCGUGUUGAAACCUGUAAGGCCCUUUAGGUUUGUAUUUGAUUUAACUGACAGCUUCAAAAUGAGCUGCUUUUCAUUUUAAAUCACGAGCUUCAAAUAUGGUUUUCAGAAACUGAGGCUUUUAAAGGCACAGUGAGUAGUUUUACGUGGCAUUUAGUGGUACAGAACUGGUGGAAAUAUAGUGUAAUGAUCACAUUGUUGCUUGUAUCUUUUUUUUUUUUUUUACAUCACUCAGUGCUUUAAGUCGUUCUUUUAAAACAUCACUGAGAUUUCUGAAAAGUAUUUAAAAAGUUCCAUGAAGUGUCACAUCAUUUAAAAACCAAAAGUUACUUAUUUAUCCCUCAAAUCAUUGUAAAUUUGGAGAUAGAGGGUAAUUAGUAAAAUUGUUAAUUGAAAACUAACAAACACAGGUCUUUUGGGAGGUCACAAAGAGAACAAGAACAACAAGAAGAAAGAGAACAAAAACAAGUGUGAAGAAGAAAAGAAGAAGGAAAAAGUGAAGAUGACAAAGAAGAGGAGGAAGAAGAAAAUGAAGAAGAAAAAGAAAAGAAGAAGGAAAAGGGGAAAAAGAUGACAAAGAAGAGGAAGAAGGAAAUGAAGAAGUGAGAAGAGGAAAAAAAAGAAAGGAAGGAAGAGAGAAAGUAAGAAAUUAAAAGAAGAAAAAACAAGAAAAAGAAAGAAAAGAAAAUGAAAGAAAAAAAACAAGAAAGAAAAAGAAAAGAAGAAAGGGAAGAAGAAGAAGAAAGAAAAGAGAAGAAAAGAAGAAGAGUGAUUGUUAUGCAUAAAAUAAUUUGUGUUUAUGUGAGAUUUUUUUAAGACUUGAAAAACAGGGGAUCAUACUCUGAUGCAUUAUGAGAGCUUUUUGUCCUUUAAGGCCACCGUCUCCUAUAGAGCUUCACCCACAGAAGGGGUCAGCAAGAGCGCUUUUGAAUCUACAAUCUGACCUCUGGGUAAAACUGUUCCAGCUGAUCCCAAAAAGUACUAGAAUUUGGUUUCAGUUCACUUAUAAAAUAUAUUGUUGUCUUUGUUUUCUUAGAAAAUAGCAGGAAUGUAUUUUUCUAUCCAUCAAAUGUGAAAUUACAUGAGAAAAAACACCACUUUUCAACCUCAGAUGGUUGCGUUUUUACUAUUAUUGUUCUCUUCUUGUCUGUCUGUCUGUCUGUCUGUCUGUCCAAUAAUCAAAUAAAGAUUACUACCAUCCCUCUCUCGCUCUGUCUCCGAACAACACUGGCAGAAGCUCAGGGUUUCACGGCGCUGCUGCUGCUGCUGCUGCUGAUGUUGGAUGAGCUGUCUCCUGACCCGUGCAGACCUCUCUGUCUGUUUAAUUGGGCCUAAAGCAGGUAUGUAGGGUUUACAAUGCGACCUGGGCCAACACAGAAAAGAAGAUAUGGAUUGCAGUGUAAAUUUAAAUGGACUGUGGCGCCGGG